Molecule: ribosomal RNA, 288 nt
Filed under: uncultured bacterium
Lineage: Bacteria
Description: partial 16S ribosomal RNA
Rfam family: Bacterial small subunit ribosomal RNA
Source: RNAcentral
CGGCCAGGGAUGUGCUCGCGGCCUAUCAGCUUGUUGGUGGGGUAAUGGCCUACCAAGGCUUCGACGGGUAGCCGGCCUGAGAGGGUGACCGGCCACACUGGGACUGAGACACGGCCCAGACUCCUACGGGAGGCAGCAGUGGGGAAUAUUGGACAAUGGGCGGAAGCCUGAUCCAGCAACGCCGCGUGAAGGAUGACGGCCUUCGGGUUGUAAACCUCUUUCAGUACCGACGAAGCGCCGAUGAUGGUGGUGACGGUAGGUACAGAAGAAGCACCGGCCAACUACGUG